CGAGCUCAAGCCUAGCAUGUGAUGUGGUACCCUUUCUUCAAGAGAGACACGCCCUCCCUUGAAGCAGGAUGGCAGUGGAAUACUACCAGCCUGCACCCCCACACAUGUACCCUGGGCCUGCCUGGAGUCUCUUUGUUCCUUUUUCCCUCUUGGAGGGAAAACCACCCAGGACAGCAGCAGUGAUACCAUAUUCAUUCUCCUGUUAGGUGACACUGCUGAGUGUGGAGAUGACUGCCCUAAAAGAGGAGAGAGACCGACUCAGAGUCACAUCUGAGGACAAGGAGCCAAAGGAGCAGCUUCAGAAGGCCAUCAGGGACCGCGACGAGGCCAUUGCAAAGAAGAACGCUGUGGAGCUGGAACUUGCCAAGUGCAGGAUGGAUAUGAUGUCUCUGAACAGCCAGUUGCUGGACGCCA
This 414-nucleotide small RNA is filed under the name Pongo abelii (Sumatran orangutan). Its description in RNAcentral is "retained intron". The record is from RNAcentral. Lineage: Eukaryota; Metazoa; Chordata; Mammalia; Primates; Hominidae.